GGAACGGUAGCUUGAGCGAUAAAAUUCUUGACAUCUAAUCAGGAAGAUCCGAGUUCGAUUCCCGGCUUAGUUCCC
This 75-nucleotide transfer RNA is filed under the name Cotesia glomerata. RNAcentral describes it as "tRNA-Arg". The record is from RNAcentral. Lineage: Eukaryota; Metazoa; Arthropoda; Insecta; Hymenoptera; Braconidae.